RNAcentral lists this non-coding RNA (27 nucleotides) under Rattus norvegicus (Norway rat). The record is from RNAcentral. Lineage: Eukaryota; Metazoa; Chordata; Mammalia; Rodentia; Muridae.
AGGUAGGCAUUACCCAUGAGUGGCUGG